UUGCAACAAUUGAAGUGAAAAGCCACUU
RNAcentral lists this non-coding RNA (28 nucleotides) under Mus musculus (house mouse). Lineage: Eukaryota; Metazoa; Chordata; Mammalia; Rodentia; Muridae. The record is from RNAcentral.